Armigeres subalbatus is the source of this 945-nucleotide long non-coding RNA. RefSeq lists it as uncharacterized. The transcript is spliced from 2 exons. NCBI's taxonomy places the organism in Eukaryota, Metazoa, Arthropoda, Insecta, Diptera, Culicidae. The record is from RefSeq and is a predicted model, not a curated record.
AAUUGAUUCCAAAGUUUUUUGUCCAGUUUAAUAUUCUGAUUUUAACAGUGAAACACUCAAUACAAAAUUUGUAAAAUUCUCAAUCAAGCUUCAACAUUUCACGUUUUUGGCAACACUGACAGAAAGAAUAAUCAAACUGGCAGCCAACGAUUAUCUGUCAGUGACAGUAACACAAAAAUAAGCGCGAAAUAAAUAUAUUUCUUUGAGACAUAAUUAUUUACUGUCGCGGUGUCGGAAACUGAAAACUGAAAACUUUCCGAGAUGUUCAAAUACACUGACAACGAGCAGCAAGUUCCGCACUUCCCAUUGGUGCUCCAGUAACUUCUGCAGUAACUGUUCCAGCAGAAUGAGCAGCAAGGAAGAAAACGAUCGCACCAAGGAUCACAUUGCGGAUCCUCUAGAUCACAACCUGAGCUUCUUGAUCCGGCUUCAUCACGGCGGAUAUGACCAUUCUGCUAAGUUGCAUAAUAAAGGUCUGCUGGUGAAACAUUCUUUCCAAAGGCGUCCCACUGCGAUGGUUUCCUGCGGCAUCAUAAACCAUGUCUGGAUCCAUAAAUAUGAUACCCAACAAUGCACAUCAGAAUCUCAUUUCAUCCGAGAUUUCAUCAGCUGAUAAAUCAGCAGGAGCAGCAUUGAAGAAGAUACUGGAACGGGGUGAUAAUUUGCAGUUAAAAUUACUGUUUGGUUGUUAUAAAUAAUAUAAAUAAAAUUUGAUAUGAAUAAGAAAUAAAAUGCAAAAAAAGAAUCAAAUGCGCAAAAUUUUAUUUACAUUUUAAAUGUGUAAGCUUUAUUGUGAAAUUAAAAGCGCAUACCAUCUGUUAUUUUAAAAAUAUUACUAGUUAAUUCAAAUGAAAAAUACACAUUUAAUUUUAAGAGGAAAAUGUUAUUUUGAAAAUUCGACUCUUGUAGAAGUUUUCACUAAAGUGACAUUUUUACAAUUGUAAA